CCCUGGGUUUCGUAUCCGUUUUAUAUGAAAUUUUUUUAUAAUUAGUAUUUUCAUUGUUAUUAGAUGAUAAAAUAUGAUCAAUACUUUAUGCGUAACUUGUCUUUCUAAUUUUUUCAAAUAAGACGGACGGUCAAACGUUGGACACGGAAAUCCAGGGUU
MicroRNA precursor from Oryza sativa Japonica Group (Japanese rice), 159 nucleotides. It matches the Rfam family "MIR812 microRNA precursor family", at positions 27 to 196 of the family's 205-position model. Lineage: Eukaryota; Viridiplantae; Streptophyta; Magnoliopsida; Poales; Poaceae. The record is from Rfam.